GUGGGGAAUUUUGGACAAUGGGCGCAAGCCUGAUCCAGCAAUGCCGCGUGCAGGAAGAAGGCCUUCGGGUUGUAAACUGCUUUUGUACGGAACGAAACGGUCCUGGUUAAUACCUGGGGCUAAUGACGGUACCGUAAGAAUAAGCACCGGCUAACUACGUGCCAGCAGCCGCGGUAAUACGUAGGGUGCGAGCGUUAAUCGGAAUUACUUGGCGUAAAGCGUGCGCAGGCGGUGCUGUAAGACAGGCGUGAAAUCCCCGGGCUCAACCUGGGAAUUGCGCUUGGGACUGCAAGGCUGGAGUGCGGCAGAGGGGGAUGGAAUUCCGCGUGUAGCAGUGAAAUGCGUAGAUAUGCGGAGGAACACCGAUGGCGAAGGCAAUCCCCUGGGCCUGCACUGACGCUCAUGCACGAAAGCGUGGGGAGCAAACAGGAUUAGAUACCCUAGUAGUCC
This 450-nucleotide ribosomal RNA is filed under the name uncultured bacterium. RNAcentral's name for it is "partial 16S ribosomal RNA". It matches the Rfam family "Bacterial small subunit ribosomal RNA", at positions 354 to 796 of the family's 1533-position model. The record is from RNAcentral.